Salmo salar (Atlantic salmon) is the source of this 2271-nucleotide non-coding RNA. Lineage: Eukaryota; Metazoa; Chordata; Actinopteri; Salmoniformes; Salmonidae. The record is from RefSeq and is a predicted model, not a curated record.
AGAUUGAUGAGAAUUGUUUUUUUUUUAAUACAUUUUAGAAAAAGGCUGUAAUGUAACAAAAUGUGGAAAAAGUCAAGGGGUCUGAAUACUUUCCAAAUGCACUGUAUAUAUCUUUUAAAUCAAAAUGGAAAUGCAACGGGAUAGUAUGGGUACAGCUCACAAUAUUGUGAAUAAAUGGAAAUGUAUUUUCUGCUGUUUGUUGUCAAUAUUGAGUCCCAAGAACAAGGUCCCUGCUGAGUCAGAGGCCACUUUUCCAUUCUCUCUCUCUUCCUCAGACUAGAACAUAACAUAAUGUAUCAUGUCUUGUCACCAAAAUGUCUCGUUUUUAGUCACACACAGCAAUCCCGAAGGUCUUGUAACAGGAAAUAAUAAAAUAGAAUAGAAUAGAAAAGGAUAAAUCAUUUAAACACUCUUGUUCAGAAGUAAUGGGGGGUGCAUAACAAUACAUUAAGCACUGAAGACAAAUGAAAGAUUUUGAAUGACCAACAGGCCUAGCUAACUACUGUGGAAGCCAUAGGAUCAUUGUAAUACUUUUUAUUAUAUUAACCAGGCACGUAAGUGCCUCUCAGAUCUUUAGGAAAGGAGUGUGCAAGUUAAUUGACUCCCGUUUCCUAAACAAGAAGUUAUAGUCCCUUCCUGCACUGAACACCUCAUAUUUACUGGAACAAAGGAAAAGCCACAGGGAGGUGGUUUACCUUUCUGCCAGGAGAUGUUAUCAUCAGAACAACUAGACUUACAUGAAGUCAUUACACUUCAUGAAACAUCUAAUCAAGUCAUGAAAAUCAGUGCAUCCCACUCAGCCAUCAACAGCUAAAACACGUCAUUAUGACUCGAAAAUGCAAGACGACAAUUGAAGACAUCGUGCUGAAUAUGACCCUGGAAAUAUCUUUGAAAAGUAUAUUGUAUGGAAAUAUUUUAGGAUUUAAUGUUUGAUGUCUGCCUGUGCUUCCCCCCUUUUCUUUGCUAAUUGAGGAAAUUACUUACCUGCUUACUGGAAACACUGCCCAUGUAAAAACAGAGACAAUUAUAUCUUUGAUGGAAUUCCUUCUAUUGUUCUCUCCCUCAUCCCUAGAGUGGUCAUAGCCUCACUCUUCCACUCACUUUCGGGAAGAUGAGAUAUAAAAAAUAUACUGUAUUUUUCACUUCAUUGAGGGCACAGAAAUGUAAUCUACAUUCUGAAAAUAGCUUUUAUGUAUUGCAAUGCUUUGUAGUCAGUGCUUGACUUGGGUCUGAAAAAGGUGCCGGUACUCAUUUUGGGUGCUGUUACUGUUUAUAUUUAGGUGCAGGAGCUCCACAAUACUUCUGAGCUAGUAUUCUAUAAUAGGAACAGGAGCUCAGGCAGUAGAACAUUUGAGGUGCCGGCACUCUGCUCCUGCCCAAGUCAAGCACUGUAUGUAGUAAUGUGAAAACCAGAUGUGGGAACUCUGUUCAGGGGUUUUCUUUUACGCCUGCUAUGUUAGGUUAGUAGUAAUGCCAUUGGCGACCCAUCAUUCAGGGCAGGUGGGGCAGAACCCUUCCUGUUUUGAGCCCCACAUGUUUAGCUAAAAAAUAUACAGUACCAGUCAAAUGUUUGGGCACACCUACUCAUUUAAGGGUUUUUCUUUAUUUUGACAAUUUUCUACAUUGUAGAAUAAUAGUGAAAACAUCAAAACUAUGAAAUAACACAUAUGGAAUCAUGUAGUAACCAAAAAAAAGUUUUAAACAAAUCCAAGAAGCAGUUUGAGAAAUACAUCCGUCUAUGCUUCAUCAAGCAAGACAGCACUCUGGAUGCAGCGGAAGCUAUCCUCAAGAACUGGAACAAGUAAAAUAAGUCCUCUUGGAUGUAAGGGUUUGUCUCAAGACCCUCUCUUUUUACUGUGACACCCCUAUAACACCUUACUUUGUAGGACAGGUAUGGAACGGUUUGCCCUGUUUAUAUAUCCAAUUUGUAAGUCGCUCUGGAUAAGAGCGUCUGCUAAAUGACGUAAAUGUAAAUGUAUAUUUGUAGACAUCUUCGUGUUUUUAGGUUAUUUUAUUCAUGUAUUUUAUUGCCUUUUUAUUUUAGUUUUAUCUAAUUUGAUUGGAUUUUAUAUGACACACAUAGAAUGGAUUAACUUCCAGGUUUGAAUUUCCUCUUUGUGACAUAAGCGCUUGCUGAGUAGCACUCGUCAUCCUGUCAACAUUGUUUUCCUGUACCCUUCAUAUGAUGGAUAGAACAGUUUUAACCCUGUGCAGCCCUCCUGGUUUGGUGUUGUAUUUAAUCUGUGAAUAAAAAAUAUUACUUUUAAAAUA